UGGGGAAUCUUGCACAAUGGGGGAAACCCUGAUGCAGCGACGCCGCGUGAGUGAUGAAGCCCUUCGGGGUGUAAAGCUCUUUCGACAGGAACGAUAAUGACGGUACCUGAAGAAGAAGCUGCGGCUAACUACGUGCCAGCAGCCGCGGUAAUACGUAGGCAGCAAGCGUUGUUCGGAAUUACUGGGCGUAAAGAGUGCGUAGGUGGUUGGCUAAGUUUGGUGUGAAAUCUCCCGGCUCAACUGGGAGGGUGCGCCGAAAACUGGCUGGCUAGAGUGUGGGAGAGGGACGUGGAAUUCCUGGUGUAGCGGUGAAAUGCGUAGAUAUCAGGAGGAACACCUGCGGUGUAGACGGCGUCCUGGACCAUUACUGACACUGAGGCACGAAAGCGUGGGGAGCAAA
Molecule: ribosomal RNA, 400 nt
Filed under: uncultured bacterium
Lineage: Bacteria
Description: bacterial SSU rRNA
Rfam family: Bacterial small subunit ribosomal RNA
Source: RNAcentral